ACGUAGGUUGCAAGCGUUGUCCGGAUUUACUGGGUGUAAAGGGCGUGUAGGCGGAGAUGCAAGUUGGGAGUGAAAUCCAUGGGCUCAACCCAUGAACUGCUCUCAAAACUGUAUCCCUUGAGUAUCGGAGAGGCAAGCGGAAUUCCUAGUGUAGCGGUGAAAUGCGUAGAUAUUAGGAGGAACACCAGUGGCGAAGGCGGCUUGCUGGACGACAACUGACGCUGAGGCGCGAAAGCGUGGGGAGCAAACAG
RNAcentral lists this ribosomal RNA (251 nucleotides) under uncultured bacterium. RNAcentral's name for it is "partial 16S ribosomal RNA". It matches the Rfam family "Bacterial small subunit ribosomal RNA", at positions 525 to 775 of the family's 1533-position model. RNAcentral also lists the same sequence under 1 other name. The record is from RNAcentral.